AGGCGCAGAAGUACAUGUGUGCGCGCCGAAGAUGAGCGCGGACUACUCACGUAUGUGUGCGGCGGAGAAUGCGUCGGAGUCGCAUCCGCCGGCGUACUCGCGCGACGCACUUGAGAGGGAGUUGCGCGAGGGCUUCCGCAAGCAGCAGCAACAAGUUAACAAAAUCCGGCAGGUGGAGCACAUGGCACUCGCCAAGGGCUUGGGUGAGUCUGCCGCGACGUCGUUGAAAGACGGCUUCUAUAUCCCGCAUAAGGUGCUGCCGCCUCUCAAGCCAGAGGAGAAGAGGCUGUUUGAGCGGAUAGACAUAAGGAAGUGGUGCCGACAUGCGGAGAGGAAGCUGGAGGACUCUGUCGUGGCUCCUCCACCCACGCUCGGCGAGGACUCUGCAGAGCACCGUCCGAUGCAGGUCCAGGAGCAUCAAAAAUCUACAGAGGCGGGCGCUGAGGAUGCCCUCAGCACUUCCCUUUCUUCUACGGCCUCGUCGCUUGCAGCUCUCGAGGGCAACUCUUCCGAAGAUGUUCGGCAGUUUCUACACCAGCUGCGCUCCACAUCACGAGCCACCUCCUCUCUCCGCGAUGCACGUGCGGAGGUGGAUGACAAUAUUCAGGCCGUAGAGGAGGCGCUGUUACGGCAGAGCUCGCCGCUUUCUUUCGAGGAUCUGCUUGAUACCGCAGCCCGUCUGCUGGCCGCGAUGGAGCGCGGUGAACUCACGGAAGAUGUGUUGGUGCCGCGGGGUGCGGAUGUUAGUACGGAGAAGGAUGAAGGCAACCCGGGAAGCCCUGCGGACUCUGCAGAUGCGCCCUCGUCGGCGAGCGGCUCAACAACCCGUGUUCUGCACGGCGCUGUGGAGGUGGAAACGUACACUCGUAGGCAUCUUCUCCCGAGAGCCUACCAGGUGGUCGCCAUUGCGCACACCGCGGAGUGGAUUCUGCAGUACACGAUGGCCUACCUGCGCACCACAGUGACUGUGAACCAAGACGAGGCGUUCACUCGCCUAGCCCUGCUGGCGCGCUGCGUGCGGCUGCUCGGCAAUAUAGAGAACUUCUCCUCCAUCCUCUUAUCUCUGGAAACCAAGUGCGAGGAGUAUGCAGGUUUCGCGGCGCUCAAGGACACGGCAGAGAAGCACCUGGGCACACUGCUGGAUGAUGUGGAAGCCUCGCUGGACUCCAUUUUGAGCGCGCCGUUUCCGUCUCGUCGCUCACGCCUUCUGCUACUCGAGGGUGGAAUCCAGAAGAAGCUGCAGCGUGCUCUGCUCUUCCUCAACGAAAUCGACUACAGCUGGACGCCGCAUGUGCACUUUCACUGGGCCUGGAAGGUGCAACUGCUCAGCACGUCGUUUCACCGCAUUCAUGGGCGCAUUUCUCGCAAGCACAUGCAGUGCAGUAUGGGUUUUGUGGACAGCUCCCUCUACGAGAGGGUGGCUGACACGCGCAUUACCGGCCGCUACAUGGGCGCCUCCCCGGUUCAACCGAAAGUGCUCCGCGCGCAGCAGGUGGAGUAUGAGAAGAUCACAGAGGGCCUCACGUUUCAGCAAAUCGGUAUGUCAAUCAAAGGGGUGGCGAGUCUUCUUGUUGGCGAGCAGUUGUGCAUGGGGGCACGGUACAUUCUCUGCCAAUCCACGAAGCAGUUCGACCAGGUCUGGGGCUUUCACAUGGAUGAAAUCAGCACAGCACCGACGCAAGAGGAGCUCUCCGCGACGGCGGCAAAGAUAGCGACGCAUGCCAAGGAGCAGCUAACUGCACGACCGACUAUCGAAAGAAAAGAGCACUCCUCCUCGACCUUUCUCACCCAGAUGUAGAUGGUCAUGUUCAGGGUAAGUUCGUCCAUAUUUGCGCGUGUGUGUUGUUUUUCUGCGUUUCCUUUGCGUGCGUCUCACUCUGGUUGCACCAUUCGUGUCUCCGCGGCUUUGCCGUGAGUAUCCGGGCUACCUUCCUCUCUCUGCUCUCAUGGAUGUAAACCAUUUUUUUUCUCUACUCCGAUGUGCUUAUUUCCUCCGAUGACGGAGGUAAGCGGAGGGCCAACAGCUCACCGUGCGCGGCAUCUCAGGGUCCAGUGCACUUCCCCACCCCUCCCCCCCCGCACAAACACACACACACGCAUUAUGUCUGUGUGCGGAGGAGCGAAGCGGCCCCUUCCACCCCCCACCCCCUACCUCUGCUAAUGCCGAACUACCUCCGGCCGUGACAAGAUCCAGUACCCACAGCGUAGGGAUGUCAGUGCGAUGUAUCGCUGCUGACGCCGGCGGUGUAGUCGUGGAUGGGCGCGGCUGUGAUGCGACCAGCGAGGCACUGGUGGGUAGGGUUUGAGGCAAAGGCCACGCUCUCCGAUGGCCGGGUCGGCGCACUGCUGCAAGGCGCGUCUGUGCGACUGCUUCGCACGCACGCGGACGUUACUCCAUCUUGCACACUCGCGUUCCCUCUGUCUUCAAACGCGUCUACUGGGGCGGGCACACAUCGGCACAACUAAG
Molecule: unclassified non-coding RNA, 2467 nt
Filed under: Leishmania donovani
Lineage: Eukaryota; Euglenozoa; Kinetoplastea; Trypanosomatida; Trypanosomatidae
Description: gene:LdHU3.34.5060(CDS-product:hypothetical_prote in_conserved)
Source: RNAcentral